This is a long non-coding RNA of Piliocolobus tephrosceles (Ugandan red Colobus), 1788 nucleotides long. The record is from Ensembl. NCBI's taxonomy places the organism in Eukaryota, Metazoa, Chordata, Mammalia, Primates, Cercopithecidae.
CAAGGUUAAAAAAAAAAAAUAAAAUAAAAAAUAAAAGUAAAACAGUACAACUCGUUUAAUAAAUAGUACAUACAUAUCCAUGUGUGUGUGUGCCUAAAAUAAUGUACAUAUGUUUUUGUAAAUUUCUACACGUUCUGUAUUUUUUUUUUUUUUUUUUUUUUUUUUAGGCAUAAAAAUGUUUCCACCAUUUCUAUAUAACGACAUUAUCAGUCACGAAAUAGAAAAAGUAAAUAAAUUCGGUGAAGCAAAAUAUAAUGAAAUUAUAAAUAACUUGAUUAGUAUAUACCAAAUGUUAAAAACAUUAGAUAUUACAAGUUCUGAAGGACAAAACAAUGAAUGUGGAGUAGGUACAGAUACAAGAACAGAUUUAAUAGCAGUUAUAGAGGCCCAGUUAGAUUUAAUGGGUUGUGAUAUUAUACAUUUUAAUUUUUAUAUCCAUAAAAAUAGUAAAAUAAUAAUGAAAUUAGGUUUUUUUUUUGACAAAAUAAUGAAUAUAUCAAUAAACCAAUGGUUAUUGUUAGGUCUAAUGAAACAAAAAUUUUGUAAUAUAGACCUUGAGCAAUUAAUAGUUUAUUUAUCUUAUUUGUAUACAUUUCUAAAUAAACUAAAAGAAAAUAAUAAUAACAGAUAUAGUACUAAUAAAGAUGCUCUGUGGAAGCCUCCCGACAUUUUUGAGAGAACAUCUUAUAAGUUUUUAAUAAAAUAUGAUGAUAUAGUAUUUGCAAAGGUUAAAAUUGUUAAACACUUGCCUUAUUUAAUAUUUGGUUUGAAAAUUGAUGAUAUAGAGCAACACUUUAAAUAUUUGAUAGAAGCUCAAAAAGAGAAGGGAGAUCUAAGUGGUGAUGGUGUUGGGAGUGGUGAUGGUGUUGGGAGUGGUGAUGGUGUUGGGAGUGGUGAUGAUGUUGGGGGUGAAGGUAAUAAAGACCAUAAAAUGGAUUCUCUGAAAAAACUGGACGAAUCCCAACAAAUAACAUCAGUAUACUUUGAUAAUGAACAAGCAACUUGUUACUCAAACCGAAUUUUAAGAUUUGAAAAUGCACAACUCAUAAGGUUUCGAUGGUAUAAUGAUAAUGAAGCUGAGCCAAACAAAAAUAUUUUUGUUGAAAGAAAAACACAUCAUGAGGAAUGGACAGGAGAAACAUCAACAAAAGAAAGAUUUGAAUUAGAACAAAAAUAUUUACUUAAAUAUAUGAACGGUCAAUUAAACGUAAAAAAAGUUCUGCUUCAAAAGUUUAUAAAAAAAAAAAAGGAGAUGUUGCAACAGUUAGCAACUAAAAGUGGUGCUUCUUCUGUCAGAGGUGUUUUGAUUAAUAAUGCCGGUACUAAUAUCAGUACCCACGCUGAACAAAUUUCUAAUACUAUUGCUACUACUAAUAAUAAUAAUAAUAAAAAUAAUAGUAUUAAUAAUGACAAAAAUAAUAAUAAAAAUAAUAGUAUUAAUAAUGAUAAUAAUAAUAAUAAUAAUAACAACAUGAGCAAAAAACAAAUCAGAAAAAACAUCCAAAAUUUGAAAAAAAAAGUAAAAAAAAAUAUUAAAUUAGCCACAGAAAUACAACAUACGAUUGUAAAAAAUAAACUAAAACCUAUUAUUAGAACAUCAUAUUUAAGAUCUGCUUUCCAAUUAAGUAAUGACAAUUCAGUUAGAAUUUCUAUUGAUAUAAAUAUAUCAAUGAUUAAUGAAUAUGUAUCUAAAAGAGAGCACUGGUGUAGACUAGCAGCAGAAGUGCUAGCAAAAAACGAGGUUACUCGAUUAAACUAUGGGAUUUUAGAAGUUAAACUAACAACUGG